Molecule: long non-coding RNA, 728 nt
Organism: Gossypium raimondii (Peruvian cotton)
Lineage: Eukaryota; Viridiplantae; Streptophyta; Magnoliopsida; Malvales; Malvaceae
Exons: 2
Source: RefSeq, a predicted model, not a curated record
AUGCCAUUUCACACCCGUUCCAAUGCUUCAUUCAUUGUUUCUGCAGAUGGUUGUAAUGAUUAAAGAGUCUCUCUAAACAAAACUUUUCAUUUAUUCUGUGACUAUCCUUUUUGCUACCUUCAUCCACCAAAGUCUCAAUCUGGUUUUCUCGGACGCUCCGACGCCAACAGUUGCUCCGCAUACUCUGGAACAUUCCCCAUCAAAUAGCCCACAGCACAACUCCCACCGAACGCCUCUGCUUGAUUGCACAUACUUCAAAAAUCCAGGUGAGCCAAUUAAAGAAAUCUAACUCCAAUCUAUUCAGAAAAUGCGCAACACCAAAAAUUGACCAAACCUCGAUUGAAACAGAACAGCCUCGAAAUAUAUGAUCCAUAGACUCCGCUGCUUAAUUUCAUCGUGGACAAGAUGCAUUAGCCAUCAGUUUCAUCUUAUGCAAAUUAACUAGAUUAGGGGUGUAAUGCCAUGAAAUUAUCCACAUUGUAACCAAUAGCUUAGAAGGUAAGUUGAUGCUUCACGAUUGUUUGCAAAAGUUCCUAUAGUUUCUCUGUAAAGCAUAAGCAUUAGGACUACCUGGAAAGUUUUGUAAUAGUUUGUAGACACUACGCACUGAGAACUCUCCUGAGGGUUCCCCCCGCCAUACCAGCAUUUCAUCGACCUCAGUCAUCGCUAAGGGAAUUCAGAGAAUUCUUUUCGCAUUCACUGCCGGGAAGAUAUUCACUAUUAACUCC